RNAcentral lists this ribosomal RNA (539 nucleotides) under Betta dimidiata. Its description in RNAcentral is "partial 16S ribosomal RNA". It matches the Rfam family "Bacterial large subunit ribosomal RNA", at positions 1856 to 2597 of the family's 2925-position model. The record is from RNAcentral. Lineage: Eukaryota; Metazoa; Chordata; Actinopteri; Anabantiformes; Osphronemidae.
CGCCUGCCCUGUGACAAAUGUUUAACGGCCGCGGUAUUUUGACCGUGCAAAGGUAGCGCAAUCACUUGUCUUUUAAAUGAAGACCUGUAUGAAUGGCAUGACGAGGGCUUAACUGUCUCCUUUUUCCAGUCAAUGAAACUGAUCUUCCCGUGCAGAAGCGGGAAUAAAACCAUAAGACGAGAAGACCCUAUGGAGCUUUAGACACAAGACAGACCUUGUUAAACACUUCAAAAUAAAGAAAUAAACUAAAAGGGCCCUGCCCUAUUGUCUUUGGUUGGGGCGACCACGGGGAAACAAAUAACCCCCACGCGGACUGAGAAAACAGUUCUCACAACCAAGAGCCACAGCUCUAAUCAACAGAAAUUCUGACCUCAAGAUCCGGCAAUGCCGAUCAACGGACCGAGUUACCCUAGGGAUAACAGCGCAAUCCCCUUUUAGAGUCCAUAUCGACAAGGGGGUUUACGACCUCGAUGUUGGAUCAGGACAUCCUAAUGGUGCAGCAGCUAUUAAGGGUUCGUUUGUUCAACGAUUAAAGUCCU